UAUGCGUCGUCGUGUUCGUCGUCG
This 24-nucleotide microRNA is filed under the name Ixodes ricinus (castor bean tick). Its description in RNAcentral is "iri-miR-X22-5p". The record is from RNAcentral. Lineage: Eukaryota; Metazoa; Arthropoda; Arachnida; Ixodida; Ixodidae.